This 465-nucleotide ribosomal RNA is filed under the name Vreelandella stevensii. RNAcentral's name for it is "partial 16S ribosomal RNA". It matches the Rfam family "Bacterial small subunit ribosomal RNA", at positions 338 to 795 of the family's 1533-position model. The record is from RNAcentral. Lineage: Bacteria; Pseudomonadati; Pseudomonadota; Gammaproteobacteria; Oceanospirillales; Halomonadaceae.
CCUACGGGAGGCUGCAGUGGGGAAUAUUGGACAAUGGGGGCAACCCUGAUCCAGCCAUGCCGCGUGUGUGAAGAAGGCCCUCGGGUUGUAAAGCACUUUCAGUGAGGAAGAACGCCUGGUGGUUAAUACCCAUCAGGAAAGACAUCACUCACAGAAGAAGCACCGGCUAACUCCGUGCCAGCAGCCGCGGUAAUACGGAGGGUGCGAGUGUUAAUCGGAAUUACUGGGGCGUAAAGCGCGCGUAGGUGGCUUGAUAAGCCGGUUGUGAAAGCCCCGGGCUCAACCUGGGAACGGCAUCCGGAACUGUCAAGCUAGGGUGCAGGAGAGGAAGGUAGAAUUCCCGGUGUAGCGGUGAAAUGCGUAGAGAUCGGGAGGAAUACCAGUGGCGAAGGCGGCCUUCUGGACUGACACUGACACUGAGGUGCGAAAGCGUGGGUAGAAAACAGGAUUAGAUACCCGGUAGUC